GGCGAGAUCCUUCGGGAAUCGGUGAGAAUAGACGACGGAGGCCGAAAACUACCGGCGAGAGAGAGAGAAUAGUGAGACGAUGCAAACCCAGAUCAAAUACCACGCAUGCAAAAGGAAAUCGAACCCAAAAAAAAAUUAGAUCCACAAAACAACCCGAUAAUCGAAAAAUAAAACCAGAGAAGGAACACGAACCUGCUGGAGAUUCGAUGCGCCGGUAGAGCUUUAGAUUGAACGGUGAAUCCGUCUGGUUCGCGACGCGGCGUCACUCCUCCUGUAAUCGCCUUCGACGGAGAGAGAGAGAGAGAGAAGAGGGAGACGCAGAGAAUGGGUCGAGACCGAAUGACCUCUUCUCUCUACCGCUUCGUACCUCCUAUCACCAUUCGCCACGUGCCACAAGCACC
RNAcentral lists this long non-coding RNA (401 nucleotides) under Brassica rapa (field mustard). Its description in RNAcentral is "long non-coding RNA (BRAP_LNC000526)". Lineage: Eukaryota; Viridiplantae; Streptophyta; Magnoliopsida; Brassicales; Brassicaceae. The record is from RNAcentral.